GGCGGAGUAGCUCAGUUGGUCAGAGCACACGGCUCAUACCCGUGGCGUCGCCGGUUCGAGUCCGGCCUCCGCUA
RNAcentral lists this transfer RNA (74 nucleotides) under Pseudomonadota bacterium. Its description in RNAcentral is "tRNA-Met". It matches the Rfam family "tRNA". From Rfam's summary of the family: Transfer RNA (tRNA) molecules are approximately 80 nucleotides in length. The record is from RNAcentral. RNAcentral also lists the same sequence under 1 other name. Lineage: Bacteria; Pseudomonadati; Pseudomonadota.